AUGUGCUUUAACAUUUCUAUAUGCUCAAGAUAAAAUGUUUAUUAUUCUUCUGAAAUCAUUUUCACAGGUAGGAGAAAAGUGACUGAAAACUUUUGUUACCCAGUGUCCAGGAUUGAAGGAUGACUUACUGAUAAUGCAUCCUGCAAACUGAGCCUGUAGACCCCAGAUACUAUGAAGAAUCUUUCCCACAGUAUCUUGGAUUCCAAGACUUGCUUAUUAAGGACAGUAAGAAGCACAGCAAAAAUGUCAUCUGUGACUUUAUAUGAUGAAUCCUGGCAGUUGCUACAACUCAUCACUUCUAGAAACAAUAAACUAAUCCCAAAUCUGGAUUUUUCAUUUUCCUUUUUAUAUUUUGUGCCUGAGUUUCUACCAGAUUACACCCAUGUGACACUUGAGCCUUUAGUCACAUAGCUGGUGAGUGAGCUUAAGGAAGUAUACAUUUUCUGCAUCUUAAUCAUUCUAAGGACCACAAAACUACAUCUAAUGCAUCUGUAAACCAGUCACAUGGGAAGGAAAGUCUGGAAGUACUGAGCAAACUGAAAUCACUUGCUGAGUGCUUGGAGAAAUUCUUCCACUUUUUAGGAGGAAUGUGGCAACUGUUAAACAGUACAUGGCAACCACACAGACAGUUUGGACAGGAUGGGAAAAAGGAAUACAAUAUUCUAGUGGGAACCGUGGGGGAAAUACAGAGACAGAAUGCAAUGUAACACACACCAAGAUCUUUUUUGUGCAAAAUAAUGCAUAAUUGAAGGAGUAAGGGGUGUAAGGGAAGAGAGGAAUACGAAAAAUAGACUUCCCCGCCACGAAAUGGAUAUUAUUUAAAAACAAUAGCUGCACAUUUCACAAAUUACUGAAAAAUAUGAUGCAGAAGAAUGCAGAGACAAAUAUACAUGUGAAGAGGGGGUGUGGGAGAGCAAGACAAAUCUCUUAAAAUCAGCUAGAUACUGCUGGUUAAUUUCAAGACUACAGGAGGAGUACUUAUUCUAAUCUAUGUGUGCUGCUUCUUGAUACCAUCUAAUUAAAAAGUAUAUGGAAGAGAAUUUUACUAAAAUUGUUAUCAUGGAACAUAAAACAGUGGGGAUUUCCUUGUGGGGACUUCCUAAGCUGAACUUUAAAUAGGACUUUAAAUCUUUUUCUCUUUCUAAGACUGUUCUUUUGUACUUGUAGUUAUUUUCGUGUGAAUUCUGAGCCCACAGCCACACAACUGAAGGACGUUUUUCAAAAGAAUUUAGCUCCUACUUUCCACCUAGGAUAUGUGAAAAACUUUAAAAACUUUUAGUCCCCUAUUUAAAAAAAAUGCAGCCUCAAGUUCCUGGCCUUAUCUGGUGGAUAUUGAACACUUUGGAGAAUCUGAGCCUUAUUUAGCUGCCUAAUUGGGCAGUUCUGGUGAUUGGUGGAGCAUGUGAAAAUU
This 1411-nucleotide long non-coding RNA is filed under the name Apteryx owenii (little spotted kiwi). Its description in RNAcentral is "lncRNA (ENSAOWG00000017552.1)". The record is from RNAcentral. Lineage: Eukaryota; Metazoa; Chordata; Aves; Apterygiformes; Apterygidae.